UCCGGUUGAUCCUGCCGGAGGCCAUUGCUAUUGGGAUCCGAUUUAGCCAUGCUAGUCGUACGAGUUCAGACUCGUGGCGAAUAGCUCAGUAACACGUGGCCAAACUACCCUUCGGACCGCAAUACCCUCGGGAAACUGAGGUUAAUAGCGGACACCACACGCAGACUGGAAUGUCGCGUGUGUCAAACGCUCCGGCGCCGAAGGAUGUGGCUGCGGCCGAUUAGGUAGACGGUGGGGUAACGGCCCACCGUGCCAAUAAUCGGUACGGGUCAUGAGAGUGAGAACCCGGAGACGGAAUCUGAGACAAGAUUCCGGGCCCUACGGGGCGCAGCAGGCGCGAAACCUUUACACUGCACGCCAGUGCGAUAAGGGGAUCCCAAGUGCGUAGGCAUAGAGCCUACGCUUUUGUCCACCCUAGGGUGGUGGACGAAUAAGGGCUGGGCAAGACCGGUGCCAGCCGCCGCGGUAAUACCGGCAGCCCGAGUGAUGGCCGAUCUUAUUGGGCCUAAAGCGUCCGUAGCUGGCCGCACAAGUCCAUCGGGAAAUCCACCUGCUCAACAGGUGGGCGUCCGGUGGAAACUGUGUGGCUUGGGACCGGAAGGCGCGACGGGUACGUCCGGGGUANGAGUGAAAUCCUGUAAUCCUGGACGGACCGCCGA
This 659-nucleotide ribosomal RNA is filed under the name uncultured archaeon. RNAcentral describes it as "bacterial SSU rRNA". It matches the Rfam family "Archaeal small subunit ribosomal RNA", at positions 1 to 663 of the family's 1478-position model. The record is from RNAcentral.